GAUGAACGCUGGCGGCGUGCCUAAUACAUGCAAGUCGAGCGAACGGACGAGAAGCUUGCUUCUCUGAUGUUAGCGGCGGACGGGUGAGUAACACGUGGAUAACCUACCUAUAAGACUGGGAUAACUUCGGGAAACCGGAGCUAAUACCGGAUGAUAUUUUGAACCUCAUGGUUCAAAAGUGUAAGACGGUCUUGCUGUCACUUAUAGAUGGAUCCGCGCUGCAUUAGCUAGUUGGUAAGGUAACGGCUUACCAAGGCGACGAUGCAUAGCCGACCUGAGAGGGUGAUCGGCCACACUGGAACUGAGACACGGUCCAGACUCCUACGGGAGGCAGCAGUAGGGAAUCUUCCGCAAUGGGCGAAAGCCUGACGGAGCAACGCCGCGUGAGUGAUGAAGGUCUUCGGAUCGUAAAACUCUGUUAUUAGGGAAGAACAUAUGUGUAAGUAACUGUGAAGAUCUUGACGGUACCUAAUCAGAAAGCCACGGCUAACUACGUG
RNAcentral lists this ribosomal RNA (497 nucleotides) under uncultured bacterium. Its description in RNAcentral is "partial 16S ribosomal RNA". It matches the Rfam family "Bacterial small subunit ribosomal RNA", at positions 28 to 507 of the family's 1533-position model. The record is from RNAcentral.